UGCCGCCCUGUUAUCAAAAACAUAGCCUUAAGAUUAUAUUUAAGGUAAGCCCUGCCCAGUGGAAAUUCUAAACGGCCGCAGUACCCUGACUGUGCUAAGGUAGCGUAAUCAGUUGGCUUUUAAAUGGAGUCGAGAAUAAACGGGGCCAUGGGAAGAGACUGUCUCUUUUUUAAUUUAAUGAAUUUGCUAAAUAGGUGAAAAUACCUUUAAGUAGAAAAUAGACGAGAAGACCCUUAGAGCCUUUACAAUAAUUUAAUUAAUUGUUUUUGUUGGGGCGACAAGAAGACAUAUAACUCUUCUUAUAUUACUAAACGAUUUUUAUAUAUAUGAAUAGGCUACCUUAGGGAUAACAGCAUAAUUAUUUAUAGUUUGUGACCUCGAUGUUGGACUAGGAACUUGAUGACUAGCAGUCAAAAAAGGAAGUUCUGUUCGAACUUUUAAAUUCCUACAUGAUCUGAGUUCAAACCGGGAG
Molecule: ribosomal RNA, 472 nt
Filed under: Zospeum robustum
Lineage: Eukaryota; Metazoa; Mollusca; Gastropoda; Ellobiida; Ellobiidae
Description: partial 16S ribosomal RNA
Rfam family: Archaeal large subunit ribosomal RNA
Source: RNAcentral